RNAcentral lists this ribosomal RNA (396 nucleotides) under uncultured bacterium. Its description in RNAcentral is "partial 16S ribosomal RNA". It matches the Rfam family "Bacterial small subunit ribosomal RNA", at positions 523 to 918 of the family's 1533-position model. The record is from RNAcentral.
AUACGUAGGGGGCGAGCGUUGUCCGGAAUGAUUGGGCGUAAAGGGCGCGUAGGCGGCCGCUUAAGUCUGGAGUGAAAGUCCUGUUUUCAAGAUGGGAAUUGCUUUGGAUACUGGGGGGCUUGAGUACAGGAGAGGUUAUCGGAAUUCCCGGUGUAGCGGUGAAAUGCGUAGAGAUCGGGAGGAACACCAGUGGCGAAGGCGGGUAACUGGACUGCAACUGACGCUGAGGCGCGAAAGUGUGGGGAGCAAACAGGAUUAGAUACCCUGGUAGUCCACACUGUAAACGAUGAAUACUAGGUGUGCGGGGACUGACCCCCUGCGUGCCGGCGUUAACACAAUAAGUAUUCCACCUGGGGAGUACGAUCGCAAGGUUGAAACUCAAAUGAAUUGACGGGG